Aegilops tauschii subsp. strangulata is the source of this 8379-nucleotide non-coding RNA. Lineage: Eukaryota; Viridiplantae; Streptophyta; Magnoliopsida; Poales; Poaceae. The record is from RefSeq and is a predicted model, not a curated record.
UCUCAUCCUACGGUCCAUGGCUAGCCUGAUAGAACGCAAGUCCUCAUCCUUCUUGGGUUCCCUGACCUGAUCCGAUUCCCACCCGCACCGUCGCCGCCGCCGCCGCCGCCGCCGCAAUGUCCUUCUCUCAGCCUUUCCACCCCGACCUGGUCAGGCACCGACCUCAGCCCUAUAGCCACGACCCCCCUCCUCCCCACCGCCCCCGCCGCCGCGGCCGUGACCAUGACGACGCGUACCACGCCCAUUCCCAAUCGUACCCCCAGCCAUGUCCCCAUGCCAACACUGCCCCCUACCACCCCCGCCACGAUCCGCUCGCUCUCUCCCACCUCCAGGAACCUAUCUUUCCGCCCCCCUCUCAGCGGGCCCCGGGCCCACCUCCGCCGAAGCGGGCUCGCCGCGCGCCAGAGCCCCGGUGUGAUCCGCCGGUCGCGGCCGUGCCACGCCUGUUGCCGACGAGACAUCCCGAGGAUGGUGACGCCAGGGCGUUGCUGUCGCGAGAGGAGAUCGAGCGAAGGUCACCUUCGUGGAAGGACGGCAUCGACUCCGCUUUGGAGGCAAGGUUGCGCGCGUCCUACUGCGCCUACCUGCGCUGCCUCGGCUUCCGCCUUGGGCUGCCGCAGACGACUGUUGCGACGGCAGUGGUGUAUUGCCAUCGUUUUUUUUUCCACAGAUCCCAUGCCUGCAACGACAGAUUUUUGGUUGCGACUGCGGCAUUGUUUCUGGCGUCAAAGACAGAGGAAACAACAUGCCUUUUGAAUACUAUUCUUAGGGCUUCAUGUGAAGUUUCUGAAAACCAAGAAUUCAACCUCCUUCCUUACAUGUCGCGUGGUCAAAACUGGUUUGAACUGUACCGAGAAAGUGUAAUACAGGCGGAGCAGAUGAUACUGACAACACUUGAUUUUGAACUUGAAGUGGCCCAUCCAUAUACUUCACUUUCAUCUGCUUUGAGCAGACUAGGACUUUCACAUUCCGUUCUAUUUAACGUUGCCUUGAGUCUGAUUAAUGAAGGACAAUUAGGAUCAAAGGAUGACAUCCACAACUAACACAAAAGACUAUAUGGACUAUCACUCAUAGUUUGCUGUGUUGCAAUGUCAACUUGAUGUAAUUGUUGUUAGUUGAAGUUCCCAAAACUUUAUAAAGAUUCAUCCAGCAACUGUAUAUGUUUAUCUUAAUUUUCUCUUUUCAUAUACUUCAACGACAAAUAGGAGCUCAAUUUGAUGUAGAUUGUUGAUUCUAUGUAUAUGCAACCUUUCCAAAACUAUCCAAAAGCAAUUAUCCAUUCUGUGCAGAAGGUGUAUGCUAUUGCAAUGAUAGUAUAAAUUGUUUGCAUAACUAAUGCAGUGGUCUGCCAUAUUCAAGCAAUUGUAUAGAAUAACAAUCUUCAAGGAUAAAUAUUUUCAUAUUUCAAAAAGAAGAUAACCUUCUUGGAGGUAGAUAAUGUAGUUAUGUGGGAUUUCCAAAAGCAUCGGUUCAAAUUCCCCUGACAUUAGGUAAAUAUUGGCAUAUGGCCACGCUGUUCUGUGGACAUGAAAUCUAUGUGACAUAUGUGAGCAUGAGUUAAUUUUUUUUUUUGAAAAAUCGUCCACUCUUUGUAAAUUUGCAUUGAGACUAUGGUGUGCAUUAAUUCUAAAUCCCUAAAAGCUCUGUAGAGGAAGCUGUUAGUGGUACCUUUGUAUGGCGAGAUCGACCCCAUGCUAUGCUAGAUAGAAGGCCCAAGUCUUUACUUUCUAAGUAUGUGAAUGACAUGUAUGCCAUUGCAAAAGUGUGGAAAGUGUGAGAACACCAUCUCAAGACUUGGAAUUCCAAUCCACCAUACAGUUGUGAACACAGUGCUGAAGAAGCAUGUCAGGUGCUGUGAACAUGUAAUUUUGUUUCCACAAGAAUGCUACUCCCUCCGUCCUUUAAAGAGUGUACUUCCAACUUUGUUGGAAAGUCAAUUUUUUUAUGUUUGACCACAUUUAUACAAUAAUACAUCAAUAUUUAUGCCAUCAAAUUGGUAGCAUUAGAUUCAUGAUAAAAUGUAUUUUCAUCAUAUACCUAUUUGUUUCACAAACAUUGAUAUAUUUUUGCACAAAUUCGAUCAAACAUUGGCAUAGUUUGACCCUCCAACAAAGUUGGAAGUACACUCUUUGAAGGACGGAGGGAGUAUGCUACUGGUAGCAUGUCAAGUGUUGUGAACAUGCAAUUUUGUAUCCACAAGAAUGCUAUGAUACUGGUAUCAUGGCGCAAACAUAAGUUUGUUAAACCAUAUUUGCAUAGGACUAGUUCUGUUUUGCUGUCCUGAAUACAGUUUUAUUGUGCUAGCCCAUUUGAUAGCCUUUGUAAAUUGUUAUACUUCCUCAAGUCGCUCUCUUUUAUCGCUUGAUAUUUCAUGGGCUCUGGGAUGGAACUUCCGAAACUAUUUUCUGUGGUAACAUAUCUCUACUACCUUAAAAGUACGUUAUUCUGACAGAAUUUAUUGGGACAAAUUUACUCAAACUAUGUCUCCAUUCUGAGUCCUUUAACAUAUUAUUGUCCAAACAUAUAAAUUGUUAAGUUGCACUUCCAAUACAACAACAACGAAGCCCUUAGUCCCAAACAAGUUGGGGUAGGCUAGAGGUGAAACCCAUCAGAUCUCGCGACCAACUCAUGGUUCUGGCACAUGGAUAGCAAGCUUCCACGCACCCCUGUCCAUAGCUAGUUCUUUGGUGAUACUCCAGUCCUUCGGAUCUCUCUUUACGGACUCGUCCCAUGUCAAAUUCGGUCUACCCCGACCUCUUUUGACAUUACCCGCGCGCUUUAGCCCUCCGCUAUGCACUGGAGCUUCUGGAGGCCUGCGUUGAAUAUGCCCAAACCAUCUCAGACUAUGUUGGACAAGCUUCUAGUUCUCAAAAAAAGAAUGUUGGAUAAGCUUCUCUUCAAUUGGUGCUACCCCAACUCUAUCUCAUAUAUCACCAUUCCAGACUUGAUCCUUCCUCGUGUGGCCACACAUCCACCUCAACAUCCGCAUCUCCGCCACACCUAACUGUUGAACUUGUCCAACACUCAGCGCCAUUCAACAUUGCGGGUCGAACCGCCAUCCUGUAGAACUUGCCUUUUAGCUUUGUGGCACUCUCGUCACAGAGAAUGCCAGAAGCUUGGCGCCACUUCAUCCAUCUGGCUUUGAUGUGAUGAUUCACAUCUUCAUCAAUACCUCCAUCCUUUUGCAGCAUUGACCCCAAAUAUUGAAUGGUGUCCUUCUGAGGCACCACCUGUCCAUCCAGGCUAACCUCCUCCUAGCGCCUAGUAGUACUGAAACGGCACCUCAUGUACUCGAUUUUAGUUCUACUAAGCCUAAAACCUUUCGAUUCCAAGGUUUCUCCCCAUAACUCUAACUUCCUAUUGACCCCCGCCCGACUAUCAGCAACUAGCACCACAUCAUCCGCAAAGAGCAUACACCAUGGGUAUCUCCUUGUAUAUCCCUUGUGACCUAAUCCAUCACCAAGGCAAAGAUAAGGGCUCAAAGUUGACCCCUGAUGCAGUCCUAUCUUAAUCGGGAAAUCAUCAGUGUCGACAUCACUUGUUCGAACACUUUUCACAACAUUAUCGUGCAUGUCCUUGAUGAGGGAUAAGGGUAAUGUACUUUGCUGGGACUUCGAGUUUCUCCAAGGCCCACCACAUGACAUUCGGCAGUAUCUUAUCAUAAGCCUUCUCCAAGUCAAUGAACACCAUAUGCAAGUCCUUCUUUUGCUCCCUGUAUCUCUCCAUAAGUUGUCGUACCAAGAAAAUGGCUACCAUGGUCAACCUCCCAGGCAUGAAACCAAACUGAUUUUUGGUCACGCUUGUCGUUCUUCCCAUAGCUUCAUUGUAUGGCUCAUUAGCUUAAUUCCACGGUAAUUAGUACAACUCCGAACAUCCCCCUUGUUCUUGAAGGUUGGUACUAAUAUACUCCGUCUCCAUUCUUCUGGCAUCUUGUUUGCCCGAAAAAUGAGGUUGAAAAGCUUGGUUAGCCAUACUAUCGCUUUGUCCUGAGGCCUUUCCACACCUCAAUGGGGAUACCAUCAGGACCCAUCGCCUUGCGUCCUUUCAUCCUUUUUAAAGCCUCCUUGACCUCAGACUCCUAGAUUCGCCGUACAAAACACAUGCUGGUCUCAUCAAAGGAGUCGUCUAGUUCAAUGGUAGAACUCUCAUUCUCCCCAUUGAACAACUUGUUGAAGUACUCCCGCCAUCUAUGCUUAAUCUCCUCGUCCUUCACCAGGAGUUGGUCUGCUCCGUCCUUGAUGCAUUUAACUUGGCCAAUAUCCUUCACCUUCCUCUCACGGAUCUUGGCCAUCUUAUAGAUGUCCCUUUUGCCUUCCUUCGUGCCUAACCGUUGGUAGAGGUCCUCAUACGCCUGACCCCUUGCUUCACUAAUAGCUUGCUUUGCAGCCUUCUUCGUCAUCUUGUACUUCUCUAUGUUGUCUGCACUCCUAUCUAGGUAUAGGCGUCUGAAACAAUCUUUCUUCUCCUUAAUCGCCUUCUGGGCAUCAUCGUUCCACCACCAGGUGUCCUUAGCGUCGCUUCUCCUUCCCCUAGACACUCCAAACUCCUUCGAGGCCACCUUACGAAUGCAGGUCGCCAUCUUCAACCACACAUUGUCUGCAUCCCCUCCUUCCUCCCAAGGGCUUCUGAGCUACCUCCCUUGAACUUCUGAGCUACCUCCCCCUCGAGCUUCCACCACUUCGUUCUAGCGACUUUGGCACGCUUAUCCCGCUGGACACGAGUCCGAAAGCGGAAGUCGGCAACCACCAGCUUAUGCCGAGGGAUAACACUCUCUCUAGGUAUCACCUUACAAUCUAGGCACGCACACCUAUCUUCUCUUCUCGAGACGAUGAAAUCAAUCUGGCUAGAGUGCUGACCACUACUAAAAGUCACCAGACGUGAUUCCCUCUUUUUAAAGAGGGUGUUAGCUACGAUCAUGUCGUAAGCUAGAGCAAAGCUUAAGACAUCUCCUUCUUGAUUCCUGAUGCCAUAGCCAAAGCCCCCAUGCACCCCUUCAAAACCUGUGUUAGCUGUACCCACGUGGCCAUUGAGGUCUCCUCCUAUGGAGAGCUUCUCGCCAAUUGGUACACUCCUAACCAUGUCCUCUAGGCCUUCCUAGAACUCCCUCUUGGUGUUCUCAUUGUGGCCUAUUUGCGGGGCAUACGCGCUGAUAACAUUGAGAACUAAGUCCCCAACUACCAGCUUGACCAGGAUAAUCCGGUCCCCACGUCUCUUGACGUUUACCACUCCGUACUUGAGGCUCUUGUUGAUCAAGAUGCCUGCGCCAUUUUUGUUUGCAGCUAUCCCCGUGUACCACAACUGGAAGCCGGUAUCCUUCGCCUUUUGCCCCCCCCCCCCCCCCCCCCCCCCCCCCCCAAUUGGUUUCUGAAAGGAUAUCAACACCUCUCCUCACCGCUGCAUCAACUAGCUCCCAAAGCUCCCCUGUCAAAGACCCUACGUUCCAGAUACCUAAGCGGAUCCUCCUAGGCUGGCUAGCUUCCUUACCCUUCGCACUCGUCUAGUCAAAUGCGAAGACCGUUGACACCACACCCGGGUUCCGAUGUGGCGCGUUGCUGUGCCACAUGUAAAUGGAAAUUUGAUGGUGUGGUCGUGCUAGGGCUUGUUUCAAUAGUACAUAUCUGUAACAAAGAGUUUGAGAUGUCGAAUGACAUUAAGCAUCACUGAAAAAUUAUAUGAUGUAUGUGGUUUCUGUUCAAGUAUGCAUGCACAUUUAUGAGCAAGAUGAUUUUGUCGUGUCAGCUCCAGUAAGGUUUCUGUUGGACUAGUUUGAACUCUCAUGUGUGCAAGUGGAUGCCAUUCCAUUCUGUGUGCUGUAUGCAAUUUUGUGUUACACUGUUAGAAUUUCUGUAGUGGAUUGGUGCGGUUGUCAUAAAAGUGUAUUUUACAUCAUUAUGUGGUGUGAUGUGAUAUUUGGGACAAAUGAAAAUGUGAACUCAAGGAAGGAAAGAUUAUGCACCUAACGUCCAGACAUUAUCCUUUUCAUUUUAACUGAAGUCACACUUCUCGCAGCCUCGCUUCACUGCAACUGUUGAACCUUGACUGUUAGACAAUUCUUUAAGCUCGUAAUGUUAUUCUAACUUUAUUGGCACCUUUUUCUGGGAAUACAGUGACAACACAGUCCAAUUUAAGAAAAGAAGCACACCUUUCACACGAAACUUAUUUGCCAUUCUUUUGAGCUACUACAGAUGUAGGCUCUCAUGGCUGGUCCCUUGUUUUUUAUCACUGUCAAUUUGUGUAGUAUUAUAUAUUUUGCACAUUCAAGAUGUGAUUGUAACAUACAUGGUUGUUAUAUUUGUGAUCAAGCAGUUGCUCCUCUUUGUAUGCAACUUUGCUUAUGUUUGUACAUUUCUAUUUAGGCUAUAAAGUGGUCAUGCUAUGCUCGUUCCAUCAUUAGUGGAUCCCUUGGAAUUCCUGUUUAUAGAUGUCUCAGACUAUGAUUUCCUUCCUUUUUGCUUUACAAAAGGCAGCAUGUCACUGAAAAGCCCUAGUGCGUCAUUUUUCAUUUAUAAAGCGGUGGAAAAUGUACAUUGGUGCAUAUGUAAUAUGGUCCUUGAGAAGGUUAACUUCAUCUUUGGCAACAACGGCCAUAUAUGGAAGCACAGGCUGCAUGCUAUUUAAAAUCUUGCUUCAUGAUAUUAGAGUUGGUACAAAAAAAAAACCCUGAGAUUUGGUUAGUAAACGAGAACAAGUCCAAUGUUGCUUGGACAUGCUAUCUUUCCGUUCCGUGCUUUGCAAAUCUCAUCUUGUCAUGGUGAAAUGCAUUCACAAUCCCUGGGUUGGCAUAUGCUGCUGGAGAAUUAUUUGGUCAAAUAAUUGUUAUAUGCAUCACAAGAGGCAUGUGUAAUUGCUAGAGUUCAGCAAUAAAGCAAUCCUGCAGAUGGUUCUUCAAUAAUAUUAUCACCUGAAGCAUCUGUUAGUGGCUUCGGAGUUCUCUUUGGCUUCAGUUCAAACCUCAUCAUAUUGCGGCUGGAGCUGCAUUCCUUGCUGGAAAAUUCCUCCGCUAUGACAUAACCUUUCACCAAAAUUUCUGGCAUGAGUUCAAAACGACACCACAUAUUGUUCAAGAUGUUGUCCAACAGUUGAAGGAGCUACUUUAGAAUCGUAGAUUCCAUAUGCUUGCUUUUUAUACCAACAUAUCCUUUUACAUGGUUUAGUGGCCACUUUUAUACAAAUAUGUAUACCUGGAUAUGGUGGCAACACGUCUUGAACUACUGGACAGCAUUGAUAGUUUGAAAAUAUACUCGAAUCGGUUUUCAUUUUAUUUCUACGACUAAAGGGUGUUGCCAUGUCCAAAAAGGACAAAAGUUGUCAUUUCUGUUAUCAUUUCCCUUUUCUGUAAGUAGUGUGCUAUAUGUGGACGUAUGCAAGUUUUCUUUUUGAGCGUGAUACACAUUUAAUGAGUUCCAUCCGAUGUAUUUCCGAAACCAAUUAACCACCCUUUGAGCAAUUUGGAAGAAGUAUUUUUAAGCUGUUCAGCACAGCGAUCAAGAACUCUAAAGAGCACUAUCAAUUAACCACCCUUUGAGCAAUAGUUCAACUCUGUAUUUCAUGAGAAAAAAUCAUUAGUCCUUCAAAAUUCUGUUACAGGUUGUUUGGCACCCAUCAUUUGGCCCAGAAUUGGUGGAAUUCAAUUGCGAAUUCUGACACGUUUGGCUGCCCUGGAUUGGGCAUCGGAAUUCAUUCCUCAAUUCCAUAUGUCUGAAACGUUAUGUAAACCAAAUCCCGACUUGGAAGCCGUCAUUCGCCAAAUCCUCUCGCCCCUGACGCCCUCGUCUCCUUCGACCAUCCCCACCCACGAGAUCUGCCGCCGCCGCCCAGUCAAGAGGAGCCGGGCCGUCGGAGUCCAUCUCCACCAGCAGUGCAUCCUUGAAUCCAUCCAGGCCAAGGGACCCCAUCGAGCUCAUCUCCCCAACGCACUGACGUACCUCGUCGUCCAAGACCAGUGGCGUCUUCCCCUCAAUCGCGCCCUUCGCUGAACGCCCCUGUCGGCGACUCCUCCGUUCUCUCUUAAUUCCUCAUCGCUAUUACCGUCUCCAGUUGCUGUCUCCACUCCCUGGUCUUCAAUCUUCUGCUUGGAGGUAUGAGCAAUCUUUGGCUUGGUGGUAUGAGUCGGCUUGAAUGGCCUUUCAUGGCCAUUGGUUCGACAGCCAUAUGUUAGUACUAGUAGUGUAAUAAAUUAGUUUGUUUCUUAAUUAGUGUCAGUGAGCAUGGGCAUUACUGAUUGAUAAAAUUAUCUCUGCUCCUCUUGUUUAUCUGAUGACGAAGGCAUGGAAUGUAGCAGUGUGAAUAUUUCAGUUCUUCGAAACUGAAUCCAGACAUCUACUGUUUCGUGAUUAUUGUAAGAAAGCAUGUGCUAGUUAAAUAUCUAGUUCUCUGAAA